Cervus elaphus (red deer) is the source of this 233-nucleotide long non-coding RNA. RefSeq lists it as uncharacterized. The record is from RefSeq and is a predicted model, not a curated record. The transcript has 2 exons. Lineage: Eukaryota; Metazoa; Chordata; Mammalia; Artiodactyla; Cervidae.
CCCUUAGAUGGACACUGCUAUUAGGACUCUGAGGCCUGAGACUAGCAAGAGGGGGAGGCACAAUGCCCCUCACCAUCCCAGUUCGGCAGGAAGUAGCCAGACAGACCUUGACGCCCCUAUUCCCAAAGAAUUGAGCCUCCUAUCUCUUGAGGGGGGAAUGUCAGGUAGUUAGACUAGGAAAAAGGAAUCCAAAAUGGUGGUGGUUAAAAUACAAAGAAAGGGGAAAAGGCCAC